RNAcentral lists this ribosomal RNA (482 nucleotides) under uncultured bacterium. RNAcentral describes it as "bacterial SSU rRNA". It matches the Rfam family "Bacterial small subunit ribosomal RNA", at positions 28 to 507 of the family's 1533-position model. The record is from RNAcentral.
GAUGAACGCUGGCGGCGUGCUUAACACAUGCAAGUCGAACGAAGCACUUUAUUUGAUUUCCUUCGGGACUGAUUAUUUUGUGACUGAGUGGCGGACGGGUGAGUAACGCGUGGGUAACCUGCCUUGUACAGGGGGAUAACAGUUGGAAACGACUGCUAAUACCGCAUAAGCGCACAGGAUUGCAUGAUCCAGUGUGAAAAACUCCGGUGGUAUAAGAUGGACCCGCGUCUGAUUAGCUAGUUGGUGGGGUAACGGCCUACCAAGGCGACGAUCAGUAGCCGACCUGAGAGGGUGACCGGCCACAUUGGGACUGAGACACGGCCCAAAACUCCUACGGGAGCAGCAGUGGGGAAUAUUGCACAAUGGGGGAAACCCUGAUGCAGCGACGCCGCGUGAGCGAAGAAGUAUUUCGGUAUGUAAAGCUCUAUCAGCAGGGAAGAAAAAUGACGGUACCUGACUAAGAAGCCCCGGCUAACUACGUG